Molecule: ribosomal RNA, 281 nt
Filed under: Phocaeicola plebeius DSM 17135
Lineage: Bacteria; Pseudomonadati; Bacteroidota; Bacteroidia; Bacteroidales; Bacteroidaceae
Description: partial 16S ribosomal RNA
Rfam family: Bacterial small subunit ribosomal RNA
Source: RNAcentral
UAUGGUUGUGUGCCAGCAGCCGCGGUAAUACGGAGGAUGCGAGCGUUAUCCGGAUUUAUUGGGUUUAAAGGGAGCGCAGACGGGUCGUUAAGUCAGCUGUGAAAGUUUGGGGCUCAACCUUAAAAUUGCAGUUGAUACUGGCGUCCUUGAGUGCGGUUGAGGUGUGCGGAAUUCGUGGUGUAGCGGUGAAAUGCUUAGAUAUCACGAAGAACUCCGAUUGCGAAGGCAGCACACUAAGCCGUAACUGACGUUCAUGCUCGAAAGUGUGGGUAUCAAACAGG